Molecule: ribosomal RNA, 200 nt
Filed under: uncultured Clostridium sp.
Lineage: Bacteria; Bacillati; Bacillota; Clostridia; Eubacteriales; Clostridiaceae
Description: partial 16S ribosomal RNA
Rfam family: Bacterial small subunit ribosomal RNA
Source: RNAcentral
GGGAAUAGCCUUCCGAAAGGAAGAUUAAUACCGCAUAAGAUUGUAGCUUCGCAUGAAGUAGCAAUUAAAGGAGCAAUCCGCUAUAAGAUGGGCCCGCGGCGCAUUAGCUAGUUGGUAAGGUAACGGCUCACCAAGGCGACGAUGCGUAGCCGACCUGAGAGGGUGAUCGGCCACAUUGGGACUGAGACACGGCCCAGACG